RNAcentral lists this transfer RNA (67 nucleotides) under Saguinus midas (Midas tamarin). RNAcentral describes it as "tRNA-Val". It matches the Rfam family "tRNA". Rfam says of the family: Transfer RNA (tRNA) molecules are approximately 80 nucleotides in length. Their secondary structure includes four short double-helical elements and three loops (D, anti-codon, and T loops). Further hydrogen bonds mediate the characteristic L-shaped molecular structure. tRNAs have two regions of fundamental functional importance: the anti-codon, which is responsible for specific mRNA codon recognition, and the 3' end, to which the tRNAs corresponding amino acid is attached (by aminoacyl-tRNA synthetases). tRNAs cope with the degeneracy of the genetic code in two manners: having more than one tRNA (with a specific anti-codon) for a particular amino acid; and 'wobble' base-pairing, i.e. permitting non-standard base-pairing at the 3rd anti-codon position. Lineage: Eukaryota; Metazoa; Chordata; Mammalia; Primates; Cebidae. The record is from RNAcentral.
CAAAACGUAGCUUAGAUUAAAGCAUCUGGCUUACACCCAGAAGACCUCAUAAUAAUGAUCGUUUUGA